Molecule: ribosomal RNA, 253 nt
Filed under: uncultured bacterium
Lineage: Bacteria
Description: partial 16S ribosomal RNA
Rfam family: Bacterial small subunit ribosomal RNA
Source: RNAcentral
UACGAAGGGUGCUAGCGUUGCUCGGAAUCACUGGGCGUAAAGCGCACGUAGGCGGUUUCUUAAGUCAGGGGUGAAAUCCUGGAGCUCAACUCCAGAACUGCCUUUGAUACUGGGAAACUUGAGUUCGGGAGAGGUGAGUGGAACUGCGAGUGUAGAGGUGAAAUUCGUAGAUAUUCGGAAGAACACCAGUGGCGAAGGCGGCUCACUGGCCCGGUACUGACGCUCAGGUGCGAAAGCGUGGGGAGCAAACAGG